AUAUCAUCGGGCACGGCUCUGUGAAGUCCGCUGCCCGGAUGAACAGUGCGGUGGUCCUGUUCCUGGAGAAGGUGGAACAGGUGAACAGGUUGGUGGAGACGGGCAUUACAGUGAAUGGGAUGUUUGAGCCGGUGAUACCGCUGAUACAGCCGGCUACAAGGAUCACUCUGUCAGACGUUCCCCCGUUCAUUAGUGAUGAUUUCUUGAUUAAAGAGCUGUCCAGACAUGGAAAGGUGGUGUCACCAAUAAGAAAAGUGCUGUCGGGCUGUAAGUCUCCCCUCCUGAGACAUGUAGUGUCUCACCGCAGACAGCUCUUCAUGUUGCUCAACAACAAAAACGAAGAGUUUGAUUACCGGUUCAGAGUCCGUGUGGAUGAUUUUGAGUACAUCCUCUUUGCAACAUCAUCCACUGUGAAAUGUUUCGGAUGUGGCGAAGAGGGACAUUUGAUUAAGGCCUGUCCGAGCCGCGGCCGACCGCCGGCCCGUUGCGGCGGUGCGGCAGUCGGCCGCGGUGGCCGGUGGGGGGGCCGGUGCCGCAGGGCAAGAAAAAGAAGCAGGAGCUGCAGAGAAACAGGUGGAAGAGAUGCAGAGCCAGGCUGGAGGGAGCACUGAGGUGACACCCGAUCUGACUGUCAUACCAUUGAAUCAGCGUUAUCCUGAUCCAAUCAUCCCACAGAUAGGGGCCAGUAGGGGCCAGUAGGGGCCUACUCUACCUACCAGUAGGUGCAGGAUGCAGUUAUCACCCAUUCAUCUGAUCCAAUACUAUUCAAGCCCAGCAGGUACAGAAGGUGUGUCAUCCAGCAGAGCAGUCACGUGACUGUCACAUUUCUGUCUGCGGAAAAAAACAAAAUGGCUGCAUUUUCUUUUCUUUUCAGUGGAAAAACAACAUUUUAAGAUAUUUCUGGCAUUAGAGUUCGUUGUGAUAACAUUUCUAGCGGGAAAUGUGUACAUUAUUUCCAUAAUCUCUGUUGAUUGAAUGCCUAUGAUAUUUCAUCAUCACCUGUUUCAGGCUUCUAUGGUGUCUGUUCUGUUUGUGGUUGCUAUGCAGUUGCUAUGGGCGUCUUAUCGCUAAAACACGUGAAUAUUGUUUUAAUAAUUGCAUCGGAGCUGUAAUGUUAUUCGUGUUAUUUUAUGUAACUGCUCAAUGACGAUCUUAAAAAUAAAAAACGUACAUUUCAGAGUUUGCUCGUAAUUGAAUUUUAAACCGGAACCUUUGUGUUUUAUGGAGGACUGAAAGUGCCACAAUUAAAUAAAUAAAUACACCAUUAAAUAAUUACUUAAAUGUGUCAUUAAUUAAUUAAAAUUGGAAUUAAAUACAUAAAUAUGAUAUUAAAUGUGUCAUUAAUUAAUUCAAAUACAGAUUCAUUUAAUGUAAAAUACAUAUAUAAUUAUUUCACUAUUUACAUUUACAUGUCAUGGUCCUGUGUUGCAGUGCUUCAUGAAUUACUUUAAUCUGUCAAACUCACCCAUCAAACUCAGACGGGGGGGGCUAACACGAAUCUAGCCUGAUCCAUUGCUUUGGUCUGAAGUAGAGUACCUGGAUAGAGACGAUGGAGGAUCUCCAUGAACUUUCUAGGGAGUUGGAGAGAGACAUUUUAAACUUAGCAGAGGAUAUAGAAGCAGGAGCUGCUGACCCAGAGCAUAUAGCGAGUAAAGCAGAGGAACUUAUUGAAGUUCCUGGAGUUAUUUCCGAGGAAGAUCUCGACCACAGAGUGACUGCAGAUCUAGAAGAAGUAGUCCACCGCUUCUCUGGUACCAGGGCGCAUCAGGCCCAACACACACAGGGACCGGGGCGUUUGCCGUUUGACAUACCGAGUGCAGUUCUGGAUCAUCAAGUUCUUUGUGGUCAGAUUGCAGCGAUGUUCGGAGUGUCUGAGGACCAUCAGGAGGCGCAUGCAACAAUACGGUUUAAGGAAGACAGAUCUCUAAUCAGCUGUGAAUGAAGAGGAGUUGGACCGCAUUAUAAGUGACAUUCACAGAAGACAUCCAAACUCUGGCUACAAGCUAAUGCGUGGUCAUCUGAAUGCAAGAGGUGUGCGUGUUCCAAUCUCAAGACUGCAAGAGUCUUUACGCAGAGUCGAUGCAGAGGGAGUCUACAUGAGACGUCUAAGGCUGCGUGUAUUAAGACGACGGCAGUAUUCUGUUCCUGGCCCAAACUCUUUGUGGCAUAUAGAUGGCAACCAUAAGCUCAUCAGGUGGAGAUUUGUUGUCCAUGGUGCGGUGGAUGGAUUCAGUCGUUUAGUGGUCUACCUGACUGUGGCUGGCAAUAAUAGAGCUCAUACAGUCUUACAGAGCUUUAUCGCUGCUGUUGAGCAGUAUGGGCUGCCAUCAAGGGUACGGUCUGAUAAAGGGGGGAGAAUGCUGAUGUAGCAGAAUUCAUGAUCAGAAGCAGAGGUACCGACAGGAAUUCACACAUCACAGGCAGAAGUGUCCAAUCAGCGAAUAGAGAGGAUGUGGAGAGAUGUUUAUGAACAUGCCCUGGACCUCUUCUAUCAGAUCUUCACUUCAUUGGAAGAUCAGGGAACACUGAAUCCAGACAAUGAAGUCCAUCUUUUCGCCCUGCAUCGGAUCUUCCUUCCACUGAUUCAGCAAAGCCUUGACUCUAUCUGAGAUGCUUGGAACUUUCAUGGUCUUAGAACUGAAAGGAAUCAGUCACCACAGCAACUCUGGAGAAGAUCCAGAGAGCAAGGCCCUGAGGAGGAUCCUACUGAGGUUCCUGAAGAGUAUGGGAUCGACUGGAACGGACCUCACAGUCUUCAUGGAGGCACUGUGUCAGUCCCCCAGGUUCAGCUGGCCCGUGAGCUCUCAGAUGAAGAGGUUGCCCUUUUGCCAGCUCCAGGAGUUUCUGUAACUGAUGCACUUAGAUUAUAUGUAGAGACUGUGGAAGUUUUAUCAGGAAUCAUAGCAGACUGAUGUCCAACCCAUGCUUUUAUUUGGCGUGUUAGAACAAGCAAGGAUAAACUGAAAAAGUUUGCUUUCCUUAAAGAAAAAAAAAAAAAAAAGCUGUUUUACUUUGAAGCUCUACCAUAAUGACUGUCAUGUACAGCUCCACUACUUUCUGAACUUCAACACUUUACUUCCCGUCUCAUUAUUGUCCACAGAAUGAAUAACAUGAAUGCUGUACUGUUAACACUUAAGGUGCAGAACUGUUUGGUUUCAGUAAAUGGAAAAAGUCAA
Dicentrarchus labrax (European seabass) is the source of this 3176-nucleotide long non-coding RNA. RefSeq lists it as uncharacterized. Lineage: Eukaryota; Metazoa; Chordata; Actinopteri; Moronidae. The record is from RefSeq and is a predicted model, not a curated record. The transcript has 6 exons.